RNAcentral lists this transfer RNA (83 nucleotides) under Obba rivulosa. It matches the Rfam family "tRNA". Rfam says of the family: Transfer RNA (tRNA) molecules are approximately 80 nucleotides in length. Their secondary structure includes four short double-helical elements and three loops (D, anti-codon, and T loops). The record is from Rfam by way of RNAcentral. Lineage: Eukaryota; Fungi; Basidiomycota; Agaricomycetes; Polyporales; Gelatoporiaceae.
GCCGGGAUAGCUCAGCUGGGAGAGCAACAGACUGAAGCCGAUUGGCCUUCUGGAGGUCCCGUGUUCAAUCCACGGUCCUGGCA